GAUGAACGCUAGCUACAGGCCUAACACAUGCAAGUCGAGGGGUAACGAGAGGGAAGCUUGCUUUCCUUGUCGACGACCGGCGCACGGGUGAGUAACGCGUAUCCAACCUGCCCCCAACUAGGGAAUAACCUUGCGAAAGUAAGACUAAUACCCUAUAAUUUCCUCAGAUGACAUCUGACGAGGAAUAAAGAUUUAUCGGUUGCGGAUGGGGAUGCGUCUGAAUAUCUUGUUGGCGGGGUAACGGCCCACCAAGGCAACGAUCAGUAGGGGUUCGUAGUGUGAGGGCCCCCACAUUGGAACUGAGACACGGUCCAAACUCCUACAGGAAGCAGCAGUGAGGAAUAUUGGUCAAUGGGCGGAAGCCUGAACCUGCCAAGUAGCGUGCGGGAUGACGGCCCUAUGGGUUGUAAACUGCUUUUAUACAGGAAUAAAGUUAGCCACGUGUGGUUAUUUGUAGGUACUGUAUGAAUAAGGACCGGCUAAUUCCGUGCCAGCCGCCGCGGUAA
Molecule: ribosomal RNA, 506 nt
Filed under: uncultured bacterium
Lineage: Bacteria
Description: partial 16S ribosomal RNA
Rfam family: Bacterial small subunit ribosomal RNA
Source: RNAcentral